RNAcentral lists this small nucleolar RNA (107 nucleotides) under Arabidopsis thaliana (thale cress). Its description in RNAcentral is "Plant small nucleolar RNA R71". It matches the Rfam family "Plant small nucleolar RNA R71". Rfam says of the family: R71 is a member of the C/D box family of snoRNAs containing the C (UGAUGA) and D (CUGA) box motifs. Multiple nearly identical copies of this snoRNA have been identified in Arabidopsis, and it is thought to function as a 2'-O-ribose methylation guide for 18S ribosomal RNA. Lineage: Eukaryota; Viridiplantae; Streptophyta; Magnoliopsida; Brassicales; Brassicaceae. RNAcentral also lists the same sequence under 2 other names. The record is from RNAcentral.
AAUCCGUGAUGAGGGCAUUUGGUUUGAUAACCCUUAAAGCGCUCCCAAGCUUCAUAGAAGCUUUCAUUUUGCUUCUGAGUGAUUCCGGAUAUCUCAUUAUGGAGUCU